AUUGAACGCUGGCGGCAUGCUUUACACAUGCAAGUCGAACGGCAGCGCGGGCUUCGGCCUGGCGGCGAGUGGCGAACGGGUGAGUAAUGCAUCGGAACGUGCCCAGUAGUGGGGGAUAGCCCGGCGAAAGCCGGAUUAAUACCGCAUACGACCUGAGGGUGAAAGCGGGGGACCGAAAGGCCUCGCGCUAUUUGAGCGGCCGAUGUCGGAUUAGCUAGUUGGUGGGGCAAAGGCUUACCAAGGCGACGAUCCGUAGCUGGUCUGAGAGGACGACCAGCCACACUGGAACUGAGACACGGCCCAGACUCCUACGGGAGGCAGCAGUGGGGAAUUUUGGACAAUGGGGGCAACCCUGAUCCAGCCAUGCCGCGUGCGGGAAGAAGGCCUUCGGGUUGUAAACCGCUUUUGUUCGGGAAGAAAUCCUCUGGGCUAAUACCCCGGGGGGAUGACGGUACCGGAAGAAUAAGCACCGGCUAACUACGUG
RNAcentral lists this ribosomal RNA (484 nucleotides) under uncultured bacterium. RNAcentral's name for it is "partial 16S ribosomal RNA". It matches the Rfam family "Bacterial small subunit ribosomal RNA", at positions 29 to 507 of the family's 1533-position model. The record is from RNAcentral.